UACGGGGGGGGCAAGCGUUGUUCGGAAUUACUGGGCGUAAAGGGCUCGUAGGCGGCCAACUAAGUCAGACGUGAAAUCCCUCGGCUUAACCGGGGAACUGCGUCUGAUACUGGAUGGCUUGAGGUUGGGAGAGGGAUGCGGAAUUCCAGGUGUAGCGGUGAAAUGCGUAGAUAUCAGGAAGAACACCCGUGGCGAAGGCGGCUCUCUGGGACGUGACUGACGCUGAGACGCGAAAGCGUGGGGAGCGAACAGG
RNAcentral lists this ribosomal RNA (253 nucleotides) under uncultured bacterium. Its description in RNAcentral is "partial 16S ribosomal RNA". It matches the Rfam family "Bacterial small subunit ribosomal RNA", at positions 524 to 776 of the family's 1533-position model. The record is from RNAcentral.